AUUGCCGCGCUGGGACGAGCUUCAAUGGCACACCAGUUGUUGUUCGUGGCUGCGGUGAUCCUGUUGUUGUUUGUGGCCGUGGUGAGCAGCACCGUACCUCGGGUGGUUCCGGAGAUCUUUGUGUUCGGCGACUGCACUGCCGAUGUCGGGAACAACAACUACCUGCCGGGGACCAGUGCCAGAGCUGACUUCCCUCACAAUGGCGUCGACUUCCCCGGCGGUGAGCCGACGGGCAGGUUCAGCAACGGUUUCAUUGGCGCCGACUUCUUGGCUGUCCACAUGGGCUUCAGCGGGAGCCCGCCGCCAUACCUCUCUCUCGUCGUCGGCAGCGACGAAGCAUUGGGCAACACGAGGACGAAGAAGCCGGUGGCCGCUUCUGCCUCCAUGAGAGGAGCCAGCUUUGCCUCUGGAUGCUCCGGUGUUCUUGACUCCACGGGAGACACGAUCAACAUGACGAAGCAGAUCGAAUACUUCUCGGAUCUCAAAGACCAGAUGCUGUCAGCCAGAUUGGGUGCCUUCGGAGCAUCGGCCUUCCUCUCCAAGUCCAUCUUCCUCAUCAGCGCGGGCUCGAACGACAACAUCGACUUCUUCUCGCAAGACACAUCGCCGGACUCCACCGCACUCCAGCAGUUCAGGGAAGCCGUGGUCUCGACAUACGAUAGCCAUGUCAUAACGCUGUACAACCUUGGGGCGAGGAAGUUCGCGGUGAUCGACGUGGCGCCCCUCGGGUGCUGCCCGUACUGGAGGAGCCGGAACCCGUCCGGGGAGUGCGUCGAGCCGCUGAACCGGCUAGCGAAGAGCCUCAACGAUGGGAUCCGGGACCUGUUCGCCGGCCUCGUCCGCGAGAUGCAGGGCAUGGAGUACGCCAUUGGCAGCACCUACGAGCUCGUCUCCCGCAUCGUCCAAGACCCGCAGUCUGCAGGAUUGACGGAGUUGAAGAGCGCGUGCUCUGGACGUGGCGGCAGGUUCAACGCCGACGGAGGGUGCACCCCCAGCGCCGGCUACUGCAGCGACCGUGGCAAGUUCCUCUUCUGGGACUUCCUGCACCCUACCCAGGCCACCUCCAGGCUCGCCGGCCGAGCGUUCUACGACGGGCCGGCACGGUUCGUCGGCCCGAUCACCUUCAGGGAACUGGCCGAGACGUAG
Molecule: ribosomal RNA, 1146 nt
Filed under: Triticum aestivum (bread wheat)
Lineage: Eukaryota; Viridiplantae; Streptophyta; Magnoliopsida; Poales; Poaceae
Description: partial small subunit ribosomal RNA
Source: RNAcentral